Daktulosphaira vitifoliae (grape phylloxera) is the source of this 780-nucleotide long non-coding RNA. RefSeq lists it as uncharacterized. Lineage: Eukaryota; Metazoa; Arthropoda; Insecta; Hemiptera; Phylloxeridae. The transcript is spliced from 4 exons. The record is from RefSeq and is a predicted model, not a curated record.
UAUUUUAUACAUUAUUGAUGAGUUAAAGAAUUAUGUAAAUGGCUUUGACAGUGAUUUUCUUGAAGAAAAUAAAUUUGAUUUGGAAGUAAAAGAAGAUGUAGAACCUAAUACUUCAGAAGACUUAAGAAACUAUGAAUCACUUGUUCAAAAACAUAGCGAUUCUAAGUUGUUGGAUGAAGGUGUGAAUAACGGUGACACGGUGGCAAUGAUUCUCAAGUAGUAGAUUUCGGUUCAGAAAUAAUACCAGUUGUGUCUUCUGAGAUACAAAAUGUCUCCUUAUUGGAUGAAGGUCUCAUAGAAGAGUUUACUGUUGGUUUUGAUGAAUCACUGAUUCUUAUUUGAAUAAUGCACCAAAUGUUCCGUCUGAGAUAGUAAAUGUCUCCAUGUUGUCAGAUGAAGAACUUAAAUGUGUUCAUACAUUUGGUUUUGAAGAUUUACUGGCAAACGAUUUUGAAUCGAAAUAUACUUUUUCAUUGUUGAGGGAAAAACGUGAUUUUUUAACUUGAAAAUUAAAAAUAUUGAGCCAGGAGUUGUGUCGGAAGAAUUGGCCUUUGCACUAUUUACAAAUGUGAUGAAAAAUGGUAUAGGAAUGUGUGUAAUGAAAGGUAAAACUAUUUGUUGUACUAAAAGUAAUCUGUUCGCUUGUUCUAUUGGUAUUUAAAAAUUUUACCGGAUGUUUUCCUUAACAAUACAAUUAAUUUUUUUUCUGAUUUUAAUAUUUCUAAAAUAUAUGAGCCAAAAUUAUGUAAACUUGUAAACAAUGUUUUCAAUUUAAAAAUA